RNAcentral lists this ribosomal RNA (889 nucleotides) under uncultured bacterium. RNAcentral's name for it is "bacterial SSU rRNA". It matches the Rfam family "Bacterial small subunit ribosomal RNA", at positions 505 to 1397 of the family's 1533-position model. The record is from RNAcentral.
GUGCCAGCAGCCGCGGUAAUACGGAAGGUCCGGGCGUUAUCCGGAUUUAUUGGGUUUAAAGGGAGCGCAGGCGGGAGCUUAAGCGUGACGUGAAAUGUAGCCGCUCAACGGCUGAGUUGCGUCGCGAACUGGGUUUCUUGAGUGAGUACGACGUCAGCGGAAUUCGUGGUGUAGCGGUGAAAUGCUUAGAUAUCACGAAGAACCCCGAUUGCGAAGGCAGCUGACGAGUCCUUUACUGACGCUAAAGCUCGAAGGUGCGGGUAUCGAACAGGAUUAGAUACCCUGGUAGUCCGCACGGUAAACGAUGGAUGCCCGCUGUUGGCGAUAUAUUGUCAGCGGCCAAGCGAAAGCGUUAAGCAUCCCACCUGGGGAGUACGCCGGCAACGGUGAAACUCAAAGGAAUUGACGGGGACCCGCACAAGCGGAGGAACAUGUGGUUUAAUUCGAUGAUACGCGAGGAACCUUACCCGGGCUUGAACUGCAGCAGGCGGAUACAGAGAUGUUGACUCCCUUCGGGGCUGCUGUGGAGGUGCUGCAUGGUUGUCGUCAGCUCGUGCCGUGAGGUGUCGGCUUAAGUGCCAUAACGAGCGCAACCCCUUUCGCCAGUUGCCAUCAGGUGAUGCUGGGCACUCCGGCGACACUGCCACCGCAAGGUGUGAGGGAGGUGGGGAUGACGUCAAAUCAGCACGGCCCUUACGUCCGGGGCUACACACGUGUUACAAUGGGUGGUACAGAGAGUCGAGUGCCGGCAACGUCACUCCAAUCCUUAAAGCCAUCCUCAGUUCGGAUUGGGGUCUGCAACCCGACCCCAUGAAGCUGGAUUCGCUAGUAAUCGCGCAUCAGCCAUGGCGCGGUGAAUACGUUCCCGGGCCUUGUACACACCGCCCGU